CGAUGUUCACUUGGAGAUCGGCGGCUAUAAUGCAGUCGUACGGCAGCACGGGUAGCAAUACCUGGUGGCGAGUGGCGCACGGGUGCGUAACGCGUAUGCAACCUACCCUUAACAGAGACAUAACCUGGCGAAAGCUGGGCUAAUAUUGAUUGAGGUUAUAGAGGGGCAUCCCUAAAUAAUCAAAGCAGCGAUGUGGUUAAGGAUGGGCAUGCGUCCCAUUAGCUAGUUGGUGAGGUAACGGCUCACCAAGGCGACGAUGGGUAGGGGUUCUGAGAGGAAGGUCCCCCACACUGGUACUGAGACACGGACCAGACUCCAACGGGAGGCAGCAGUAAGGAAUAUUGGGCAAUGGUCGGAAGACUGACCCAGCCAUGCCGCGUGCAGGAAGAAGGCCCUAUGGGUUGUAAACUGCUUUAGCCAGGGGCUAAACCUACCGAUGCGUUGGUAGCUGAAGGUACCUGGAGAAUAAGCAUCGGCUAACUCCGUGCCAGCAGCCGCGGUAAUACGGAGGAUGCGAGCGUUAUCCGGAUUUACUGGGUUUAAAGGGUGCGCAGGCGGUUGUUUAAGUCAGGGGUGAAAGCCCUAUGCUCAACAUAGGGAUUGCCUUUGAUACUGAACGGCUAGAGUGAAGAUGGAGUGGGUGGAAUGUGUUGUGUAGCGGUGAAAUGCAUAGAUAUAACACAGAACACCGAUCGCGAAGGCAGCUCACUAAUUUUCAACUGACGCUCAUGCACGAAAGCGUGGGGAUCAAACAGGAUUAGAUACCCUGGUAGUCCACGCUGUAAACGAUGAUCACUAGCUGUUGGUACGCAGAAGUAUCAGUGGCUAAGCGAAAGUGAUAAGUGAUCCACCUGGGAGUACGACCGCAAGUUGAAACUCAAAGGAAUUGACGGGGCCGCACAAGCGGAGGAGCAUGUGGUUUAAUUCGAUGAUACGCGAAGAACC
RNAcentral lists this ribosomal RNA (945 nucleotides) under uncultured bacterium. RNAcentral describes it as "bacterial SSU rRNA". It matches the Rfam family "Bacterial small subunit ribosomal RNA", at positions 26 to 970 of the family's 1533-position model. The record is from RNAcentral.